GUGGGGAAUAUUGGACAAUGGGCGCAAGCCUGAUCCAGCCAUGCCGCGUGAGUGAUGAAGGCCUUAGGGUUGUAAAGCUCUUUUGUCCGGGAAGAUAAUGACUGUACCGGAAGAAUAAGCCCCGGCUAACUUCGUGCCAGCAGCCGCGGUAAUACGAAGGGGGCUAGCGUUGUUCGGAAUCACUGGGCGUAAAGCGCACGUAGGCGGACCAUUAAGUCAGGGGUGAAAGCCUGGAGCUCAACUCCAGAACUGCCUUUGAUACUGAUGGUCUCGAGUAUGGAAGAGGUUGGUGGAACUGCGAGUGUAGAGGUGAAAUUCGUAGAUAUUCGCAAGAACACCGGUGGCGAAGGCGACCAACUGGUCCAUUACUGACGCUGAGGUGCGAAAGCGUGGGGAGCAAACAGGAUUAGAAACCCUUGUAGUCC
This 425-nucleotide ribosomal RNA is filed under the name uncultured bacterium. RNAcentral describes it as "partial 16S ribosomal RNA". It matches the Rfam family "Bacterial small subunit ribosomal RNA", at positions 354 to 796 of the family's 1533-position model. The record is from RNAcentral.